GAGUUUGAUCAUGGCUCAGGAUGAACGCUGGCGGCGUGCCUAAUGCAUGCAAGUCGAGCGACGCACGUCCAGUCCGUAAGGACCGGGCAUGACGGAGCGGCGAACGGGUGAGUAACACGUGAGCAACCUGCCCCGCAGACCGGGAUAGCCCAGGGAAACCUGGAUUAAUACCGGAUCAUCUCGGUGGAUCGCAUGAUCUGCCGAGCAAAUGCUUUUGCGCUGUGGGAUGGGCUCGCGGCUUAUCAGCUAGUUGGUGGGGUAACGGCCCACCAAGGCAUUGACGAGUAGCUGGUCUGAGAGGACGAUCAGCCACACUGGGACUGAGACACGGCCCAGACUCCUACGGGAGGCAGCAGUGGGGAAUAUUGGACAAUGGGCGCAAGCCUGAUCCAGCCAUGCCGCGUGUGUGAAGAAGGCCUUUUGGUUGUAAAGCACUUUAAGCGAGGAGGAGGCUACUUGGAUUAAUACUCUAGGAUAGUGGACGUUACUCGCAGAAUAAGCACCGGCUAACUCUGUGCCAGCAGCCGCGGUAAUACAGAGG
RNAcentral lists this ribosomal RNA (541 nucleotides) under uncultured bacterium. RNAcentral's name for it is "bacterial SSU rRNA". It matches the Rfam family "Bacterial small subunit ribosomal RNA", at positions 9 to 531 of the family's 1533-position model. The record is from RNAcentral.